Molecule: long non-coding RNA, 2808 nt
Organism: Gallus gallus (chicken)
Lineage: Eukaryota; Metazoa; Chordata; Aves; Galliformes; Phasianidae
Exons: 4
Source: RefSeq, a predicted model, not a curated record
GUGGUUUCAAGAUAUUCCUACAGAAAUGUUUGUGGAGAGGAGAACACUGCCAAGUGUUGAAGGAGAAUGAGGAAAGGACCUCCUGACUCCUCCUGGAACGAUGUAAUCAGCCCUUCUCCCUACUUCACACUGGAGCAAACAGACAUCUGGGGAGGGAGAACUGUGCUGAAGUAGUAGCUGUGGAUGACAGAAGCUGGAGGUGGCACAGAUCAGCAGCUCCCUGGGUGGUGGCUGUCCUGUGCCGACUGUGCACCUUGGCUCACAGGAGUUAUCACUUCUGAGUCACAAGGGGCUGGCGAGCAGCUUGGCUUUGGCAUUCACACCAGGUUCACAUCACAAGAUCAAUGAUUUGAAAGCUGCAAAACAAAAUUGGAAGACCUUUCUGAGGAAAACUCGUGUGAGCAACAGGACCUGAGCAGGCUUGAGGUGCCAGAAGACCAACUUUGAAAAGAAUUUCAAGCUGGAAAUGCCGUCUAGAAGGAACUGGGAGACUCACUCAAAUAAAUGACACUAUCAGAAGUAAUGACAAGACUUUUAGUUCUGGUUAAAAAUGGUAAUCCAGUUUUCAAAUAUACUGAGUAUCAAUUCUCUCCUCUGAACUGAGUAGGUGCUUCAGACAGUUGACGCUGGAAGGGCACAGAACACACGUUCUCUUCCCGUAUGUUAACAGAUCAUCAAACCAUUCUGUGUAGUCUCAGAGCAACCAGCUGUUCUGCUUUAGCUAGUUCCCUUGAACACUUAGGAUGAUUUGUUUUUGUUUUCCUUCUUUUCUUCUUCUUUUCUUCUUUUCUUCUUUUCUUCUUUUCUUCUUUUCUUCUUUUCUUCCUUCCUUCCUUCCUUCCUUCCUUCCUUUCCUUUCUUUCUUUCCUUUCUUUUUUCCCCCUUUGGCUGAUUUUUCUGUCUCGUGAUCACAAACCAUGAAUUCAUGAAUGCCAUUCAGUUUUUUGGUUUGUUUAUUUUUCCUUCUUCUACCCUAAAUACAACUUCCUUUUAUGAGGAUUAUUUCUCAAACACAUUGCUAUUGAGACUGAAUCUCUCUGACAGCAGUGAUCACAGCAGAAACCUACAUGUAUGCAUGACAAAGCUCGCCAGUAGUACUAUACAGUGACAUGCUUGGAAGUGAUAGCACCACUGCCAUUUCUCUGUAUCCCCCAUACCAACAUUUAUUUGUGCCUUUCAGGGCAUUUUCAUGUAAUGUAUUCCCUUCUUUUUUUUCAUGUUUUUGUUUAUGUCUGGAAUUUCAGAGAAUUAAUCUAGACAACCCAGGCUGCCUAUUCAAACCUUGAUUCUAAAACCUGUGAUUAGCUCUAGAUUUAGAUUAAAUAAAGCACACAAUGCAUCCUAAAUAGUACAAAUAAGUCAAUUCCUAGGUUUCCAGACAUAACUGAACUAGAUGCAGACACAUCCCAAAUCCAGGGCAAGAUUCCAUUGGUAUCAGAGCUCAUCUGUUUUGCACAAAUAGGAACAGAUACGUCAUACAGAGGAAAGAGAAGGUAAAUCCAAGGAACUUGGGAAAAAAAAAAUCACACUGUAACAAAUUAGUAUAUUUUUUCAGUCAUCUGAACAGCAGAGCAAAAUGACUGUAUUCCAGAAACUAAGUUCACAUGGUUUGAAACAAGCCAUCUCAGAAAUGACUAAGCACUUUCUCAGUGUGUGAACACUACACGACAGUGAUUCUCAAACUGACUAUCAGGAAAAACGGAUAUCAGAAAGGAGUUAACUUGAAGAAACUGGAAAGCGUAUAUUGAAAUGAACUGAUAUUCUUGAGGCAAUGAAACACUAAACACAGCUGACUACCGUGCCCAAGGGACAGCAGGAGUCUGGUCUGUUCUGAUGAGUCAUUCACUGUGUGUAAAGGGUCUACUUAGGUGGUGAUUCAAGAAUGUGAACAUUUCUCCAUCUUUUGGUAAUUUUAGCAUUUGCUAUUUUUCACUGUCUGCUCUUCCUUUUGCACUACAAAAACGAUUCCAAAUUCUAAACACAAUACUAAUCUGGCUUUUGUCUCUUUAAUAUUUUGCCUAUUCAGUAACCUUUCUAGUUUACAUGAACGCUACUAUAUGCAGUGUUAUGAUGCAGUAAACUGCUGGACUUUCAAAUAAUUUGAGAUGCCAAAAGUAUAAGAUCUAUUAAAAUUUUCAGAAUGCUAACUUCAGAAAGAAAUGAGGUCCAUCUUUAUUUUUGAUAGAAACCUCAUUUUCAGUCCAGAUGAUUUCAAGUUUGCAGUUCUUAUUCUUUACAGUGAAUAUACACUAAUACUUGGCAAGCUUCAUAUAGGAUUGUGCUUCCAGGAUUAAUAAACUAUUUUUUUAUUAUUAUUAUUAUUUUGGUAAUCAGCACAUUAAACAAUGAUUUUGCACAUGCUAAUCUGAAAUCAAUGACGAUCUGAAAUGUUUUUGCUGAGUUUUAAACUGAAAAUCAGACUUAUCCAAACAGAUACACAUUCCUUGAUCAAUCUGAAAAGCAAUUACAAUAUUAUGGAAAAGAGCAGUAUCCAUACUUGAGAGUUAUUUGUGAUGGAUAAUGCAAUGUUGCAUGAAACUGAGGGAUGUAAGGAUGGAGUACAGCACUGCUGAAAAAAGCAGCUGAAGAAGACAGCUGUAUCCCGUGCUUCAUCAAAAGCAGCAUGGCCAUCAGGUCGUCUACUCUGCACUGCUGAGGCCUCAUCUGGAUUACCACAUCCAGAUGUGGAGUCCUCAGUUUAGGAGAGACAUGGGUCUGUUGAAGUGUGUCCAGAGAUGAGCCACAAAAAUGAUCCAAGGGAUGGAACACCUCCCUUAUGAGGACAGGCUGAGAGAGCUGGGGCUGUUC